GCCUGGAUAGUUCAGUGGUAGAACGCUUCCAUGGUAAGGAAGAGGUCGCGAGUUCAAUCCUCGCUCCAGGCUCCA
Molecule: transfer RNA, 75 nt
Filed under: Patescibacteria group bacterium
Lineage: Bacteria
Also listed under: 1 other name
Description: tRNA-Thr
Rfam family: tRNA
About the family: Transfer RNA (tRNA) molecules are approximately 80 nucleotides in length. Their secondary structure includes four short double-helical elements and three loops (D, anti-codon, and T loops).
Source: RNAcentral